RNAcentral lists this unclassified non-coding RNA (253 nucleotides) under uncultured Frankiales bacterium. RNAcentral describes it as "contains 16S-23S intergenic spacer region". It matches the Rfam family "Bacterial small subunit ribosomal RNA", at positions 524 to 776 of the family's 1533-position model. Lineage: Bacteria; Bacillati; Actinomycetota; Actinomycetes; Frankiales. The record is from RNAcentral.
UACGGAGGGUGCAAGCGUUGUCCGGAAUUAUUGGGCGUAAAGAGCUCGUAGGCGGCUUGUCGCGUCGUCUGUGAAAACCCGAGGCUCAAACUCGGGCCUGCAGUCGAUACGGGCAGGCUAGAGCUCGGUAGGGGAGACUGGAAUUCCUGGUGUAGCGGUGAAAUGCGCAGAUAUCAGGAGGAACACCGGUGGCGAAGGCGGGUCUCUGGGCCGAAACUGACGCUGAGGAGCGAAAGCGUGGGGAGCGAACAGG